This 409-nucleotide ribosomal RNA is filed under the name uncultured bacterium. RNAcentral's name for it is "partial 16S ribosomal RNA". It matches the Rfam family "Bacterial small subunit ribosomal RNA", at positions 505 to 916 of the family's 1533-position model. The record is from RNAcentral.
GUGCCAGCAGCCGCGGUAAUACGGAGGGUGCAAGCGUUGUCCGGAUUUAUUGGGUUUAAAGGGUGCGUAGGCGGCCAUUUAAGUCAGCGGUGAAAGACUUCAGCUCAACUGAAGUACUGCCGUUGAUACUGAGUGGCUUGAGUAUUGACGAAGAGGGCAGAAUUGAAGGUGUAGCGGUGAAAUGCAUAGAUAUCUUCAAGAAUACCGAUUGCGAAGGCAGCUCUCUAGGGAAUAACUGACGCUGAGGCACGAAAGCGUGGGUAGCAAACAGGAUUAGAUACCCUGGUAGUCCACGCCCUAAACGAUGAUUACUCGAUGUUUGCAGGUUACUGUAAGCGUCUUAGGGAAACCGUUAAGUAAUCCACCUGGGGAGUACGACCGCAAGGUUGAAACUCAAAGGAAUUGACGG